Molecule: non-coding RNA, 21 nt
Filed under: Arabidopsis thaliana (thale cress)
Lineage: Eukaryota; Viridiplantae; Streptophyta; Magnoliopsida; Brassicales; Brassicaceae
Source: RNAcentral
UGGAGAUGAUCGAUAUGGCUC